RNAcentral lists this long non-coding RNA (2183 nucleotides) under Setaria italica (foxtail millet). Its description in RNAcentral is "long non-coding RNA (SITA_LNC001662)". Lineage: Eukaryota; Viridiplantae; Streptophyta; Magnoliopsida; Poales; Poaceae. The record is from RNAcentral.
AAUAGUUCAAGGUAUGUUUCCGCAAAAGUUCCCCACGUUGAUAGCCUUCGAUCUCAGCCGUGUAACCAUAAUUCGACGGAGAUCGGUGGGCUGAUUAGGAUCACGAUUGAUCCAUUUUUAGGGACGUAAACGGAAAUAUUGGAUUGUACGACGGCCGUACCAGAAAAGCUCAUCCACAGUCAUUCCUCGGUGAAAUUUCCCAAUUUCCUUUUCCCUUUCUGAAUUGAGAAUUGAGAGGUCGGCGAAAAUUUCCUUCCACCGAGGCGUGCAAGCACGAUGCACGAACCAACGGUCCAAUGUGCGAAAUCGCGGCCCUUCUCUGGCCCGGAUGCUUCCAGCGCCGCCGCCGUUCGCCGUCGCCGAGAGGGUGGAACCGAUUCACCUUCCAGCGAGGAUAGCAGCCUCCGAGACGGGCUCUUCUCGGGCGGAAGGAUGAGCCGUCAGCCGUGUGCCUCGGCAUAACUCACUGCUAGAACUAGUAGCCUGGAACCGGCGGGGCGGAUGGAGUGGCUCCGGGCCGACGCUCGUGCGAGCUCAGAGUCCGUUGGUUCGUGCUGAAGACAAUCAGGUAUCGGGGUUGUUAGCUCUGUCUUCUCGCAUUCACGCGCGCUUCUAUUAGUUCUCUAUGCUUUGAUUCCUUUGCUGCAUGCGUCGGAACUGUUUGAUGUAUUUCCUCACUGGGUUCGUGCCGCGCUCUACCACUCCACUAUGGAGUGAUCGAGAUAGAUAGGUUCAAAUGUAGUGAGAUGCUCUGUUCUGGAUUAUAUUAGUCGAAAUGCUUUAGUAGUUGUACUUAUUUGUUCGCAAGGAUUUUAGCAGUCAUACUUAUUCGUGCAUGCAGCAUGCACAUCAAUAUCUAUCUAAUGCACUAGUUUUUAAAUUACCUGCAAAUUGUUUUUCUGGUGGCGAUGAGAGAGGGAUUAUUUAUGCCAAAAUUAUGUAAAGCCACAUGUAUCUUAGCAUACAGACCACAGAUCUGAUAUUGAUAUGUGAAAGCCAAAUAAGACCGAGAUUUGAGAUCACUUCGAACAGUAAUCUAUGUUAUGCUCUAAGUACUAAAAAUGCUAUAGAGGUGAAAUUUGCAUUAAACUUCACUUUUAGUUCUCUAACAGCACCACAACAGAUAAACCUUAGAUGCAUCAUGCUCGUGCACAUGGCCCAAUCCAAAUACCAGCGCAUACAUAUACAGAUCGAAUAACACACAGUGUAAAAGGUUUGCUGAAAGAGACGUGCUGAACAAUAUGAAUCUACACACAGGUACGGUUUGCACCGUAGACUCAAAACAUAGACAGAUAGUGGUCCUUAUGGAAGUUAGACCAGUGGCCUGUUGUAAUUGGCUUCUAGCAUUAAACGGAGGCGGCUCACCACUUCUGUGAAAGUUGGUCUUUUCUCAGGCUCGUUUGACCAGCACUGCUCCAUGAGUUCCCUCCAUUGGGGAUCACAUGAUACUGGUAUUGGUGGCCUCAAUGUGUUGCUCAAAAUUCCUCCUGCAAAUUUUCAGUUUGUGAUCAGGAACGCAGAUAGUGUUAGAGCAGAGGAUAUCCUUUAUAAUAACUUCAUAAUGUUUUAAGCAAACCUAUAACUCCUCCAUGGUGCAUGCCAGCAUAUGGCUCCUCGCCCGUGAGUAUUUCCCACAUUAUGAUUCCAAAAGAAUACACAUCAACCUAUCAUAGUGUCAGAUAAAGGCACAUUUAAUUGUAGAUAAUACAGAUAACUAAGUCUGAAGAAUUAGUUUUCUUUUCUUCUUCACUUAAGCAACUUGAAUAUGCAGAAAUAGCUGAGGCGAAACAUAACCCUCCUGAAUAACAGAGUUAGUCAACUCAAUUAUCUUAGUACCAAAAUCACAAUUCAGUUGUUGGUUUUCAGCUUAUUGAGUGCCAUAUGAGAAACACAGAUAAUGCCACAGCGCAUGUUCUGCUUUGUAAUACCAUUAAUUUUUGGGGUCAUCAAGAUAGGUUGUGAGUACUACCUUGGUUGAUACCAUAUUGCUGCUCAUUUCAAGCAUUUCAGGAGCCAUCCAUGGAAGAGUUCCUCUCAUUCCAACAGAGACCAUUGUAGUCUGUUUCACCUUGGACAAACCAAAAUCAGCUACCUGCAGUCAAGUUUACCGGUUGCUUUAUUUCAGCUCACAUGGAAAGGAAGGGGCCAUUUAUACAUUUCUUCUGACUCAUUUUAUACCAACA